GCAUAAUAAUUUGCCCAUUAAUUAUGGGCUAGAAUGAACGGGUCAACGAAAUAUUUACUGUCUCAAAAAAACAAAUUUAAAUUAUCCUUUAGGUGAAGAUACCUAAAUUCAAACAAAGGACAAGAAGACCCUAUAGAGCUUUACCUGUGUUACUUAUAAAAAGUACGACGGUUCGGUUGGGGCGACCAAGGAACACACAACAUCCUUAAAAACCAAGACAAAUGUGUCUCUCCUAUGACCCUUUAAAGAUUAAAAAAACAAGCUACCUUAGGGAUAACAGGCUAAUUAUAAUAAAAAGA
Molecule: ribosomal RNA, 299 nt
Filed under: Stylodrilus parvus
Lineage: Eukaryota; Metazoa; Annelida; Clitellata; Lumbriculida; Lumbriculidae
Description: partial 16S ribosomal RNA
Rfam family: Bacterial large subunit ribosomal RNA
Source: RNAcentral